ACAUGCAGUCGAGCGGACUUGAAGAGAAGCUUGCUUCUCCGAUAGUUAGCGGCGGACGGGUGAGUAACACGUAGGCAACCUGCCCUCAAGCUUGGGACAACUACCGGAAACGGUAGCUAAUACCGAAUAGUUGUUUUCUUCUCCUGAAGAAAACUGGAAAGACGGAGCAAUCUGUCACUUGGGGAUGGGCCUGCGGCGCAUUAGCUAGUUGGUGGGGUAACGGCUCACCAAGGCGACGAUGCGUAGCCGACCUGAGAGGGUGAUCGGCCACACUGGGACUGAGACACGGCCCAGACUCCUACGGGAGGCAGCAGUAGGGAAUCUUCCGCAAUGGGCGAAAGCCUGACGGAGCAAUGCCGCGUGAGUGAUGAAGGUUUUCGGAUCGUAAAGCUCUGUUGCCAGGGAAGAACGCUUGGGAGAGUAACUGCUCUCAAGGUGACGGUACCUGAGAAGAAAGCCCCGGCUAACUACGUGCCAGCAGCCGCGGUAAUACGUAGGGGGCAAGCGUUGUCCGGAAUUAUUGGGCGUAAAGCGCGCGCAGGCGGUCAUUUAAGUCUGGUGUUUAAUCCCGGGGCUCAACCCCGGAUCGCACUGGAGACUGGGUGACUUGAGUGCAGAAGAGGAGAGUGGAAUUCCACGUGUAGCGGUGAAAUGCGUAGAUAUGUGGAGGAACACCAGUGGCGAAGGCGACUCUCUGGGCUGUAACUGACGCUGAGGCGCGAAAGCGUGGGGAGCAAACAGGAUUAGAUACCCUGGUAGUCCACGCCGUAUACGAUGAGUGCUAGGUGUUAGGGGUUUCGAUACCCUUGGUGCCGAAAUUAACACAUUAAGCACUCCGCCUGGGGAGUACGGUCGCAAGACUGAAACUCAAAGGAAUUGACGGGGACCCCGCACAAGCAGUGGAGUAUGUGGUUUAAUUCGAAGCAACGCGAAGAACCUUACCAGGUCUUGACAUCCCUCUGACCGGUACAGAGAUGUACCUUUCCUUCGGGACAGAGGAGACAGGUGGUGCAUGGUUGUCGUCAGCUCGUGUCGUGAGAUGUUGGGUUAAGUCCCGCAACGAGCGCAACC
RNAcentral lists this ribosomal RNA (1071 nucleotides) under Paenibacillus taichungensis. Its description in RNAcentral is "bacterial SSU rRNA". It matches the Rfam family "Bacterial small subunit ribosomal RNA", at positions 53 to 1103 of the family's 1533-position model. Lineage: Bacteria; Bacillati; Bacillota; Bacilli; Caryophanales; Paenibacillaceae. The record is from RNAcentral.